CACGGGGGAUGCAAGCGUUAUCCGGAAUUAUUGGGCGUAAAGGGUCUAUUGUGGUGGCUGGUUCAGUCUGCUGUGAAAGUCUGGGGCUUAACCCCAGAAAUGCGUCAGAAACUAGCAAGCUAGAGUACGGUAGGGGCAGGGGGAAUUCCCGGUGGAGCGGUGAAAUGCAUAGAGAUCGGGAAGAACACCAAUGGCGAAAGCACCCUGCUGGGCCGAUACUGACACUGCUAGAUGAGAGCUAGGGGAGCAAAUGGG
This 255-nucleotide ribosomal RNA is filed under the name uncultured prokaryote. RNAcentral describes it as "partial 16S ribosomal RNA". It matches the Rfam family "Bacterial small subunit ribosomal RNA", at positions 524 to 776 of the family's 1533-position model. The record is from RNAcentral.